This 932-nucleotide ribosomal RNA is filed under the name uncultured bacterium. Its description in RNAcentral is "bacterial SSU rRNA". It matches the Rfam family "Bacterial small subunit ribosomal RNA", at positions 8 to 915 of the family's 1533-position model. The record is from RNAcentral.
AGAGUUUGAUCCUGGCUCAGAACGAACGCUGGCGGCGUGCUUAACACAUGCAAGUCGAACGAGAAAGGCCCCUUCGGGGGACGAGUAGAGUGGCGCACGGGUGAGUAACGCGUAGGUAAUCUACCCUUAUACCUGGGAUAACAUUGGGAAACUGGUGCUAAUACCGGAUACACUUUACUGCUGCGGGGCAGUAGAGGAAAGGUGACCUCUUGGUCAAAGUUACCGUAUAGGGAUGAGCCUGCGUACCAUUAGCUAGUAGGUGGGGUAACGGCCCACCUAGGCGACGAUGGUUAGCGGGUCUGAGAGGAUGAUCCGCCACACUGGAACUGGAACACGGACCAGACUCCUACGGGAGGCAGCAGUGAGGAAUAUUGCGCAAUGGGGGAAACCCUGACGCAGCGACGCCGCGUGAGUGAGGAAGGCCUUCGGGUCGUAAAGCUCUGUCAGAAGGGAAGAAGUGUUAUACGGUUAAUACCCGUAUAAUUUGACGGUACCUUCAGAGGAAGCACCGGCUAACUCCGUGCCAGCAGCCGCGGUAAUACGGAGGGUGCGAGCGUUGUUCGGAAUUACUGGGCGUAAAGGGCGCGUAGGCGGCUUUAUAAGUCAGAUGUGAAAGCCCACGGCUUAACUGUGGAAGUGCAUUUGAAACUGUGAAGCUUGAGUAUCGGAGGGGAGUGUGGAAUUCCCGGUGUAGAGGUGAAAUUCGUAGAGAUCGGGAGGAACACCGGUGGCGAAGGCGACACUCUGGACGAAUACUGACGCUGAGGCGCGAAAGCGUGGGGAGCAAACAGGAUUAGAUACCCUGGUAGUCCACGCCGUAAACGAUGUGAACUAGAGGUAGGUGGUGUUGAUCCCAUCUGUCUCGCAGCUAACGCAUUAAGUUCACCGCCUGGGGAGUACGGUCGCAAGAUUAAAACUCAAAGGAAUUGACG